Bufo gargarizans (Asiatic toad) is the source of this 1094-nucleotide long non-coding RNA. RefSeq lists it as uncharacterized. The record is from RefSeq and is a predicted model, not a curated record. The transcript has 4 exons. Lineage: Eukaryota; Metazoa; Chordata; Amphibia; Anura; Bufonidae.
CUUAAUGGAGAAGAUGAGGAAGAAAACAUCUCUAUCAAAGGAGACAUCACUGGAGUGAUGAGUUUCGGCUGGAAUACUUCGUCAUGUCAGUCUGGUUCGAAUAGAGAAGAUGAGGAAAGAGAACUUCUACAUCAGAGGAUGUAAGAGGUGAGCUGAAACAGAGAAUUUAGAUGGAUCUACAAAUAUUCACAACAAUGAAUUACCUCCUUGGAAGCUAUAGGACAGCAGGACCAGACAGACGGCUAUGGACACAUGCAAUUUUUCUUUUUUUUACAAUGCUGUAUGCAUGUAAUCACAUUGAGACAUAUGACGACACAAACAUGAUUAGACCAUGCACCAUUUUUGGAACAUUAUGGGGUCUUUGACACAGCGCAGAUUGGAGGCCAUGUAUCUGUGCUCAUUGGAUCCAUAGGGUUAUACGGUGGCGUCCCUUAAUCCCAAUAGGACCUGCUGUCCCCGAACUUGAAGUCAAGGUAACCACGCCCCCAAACCGUCCCCUCAGCCUGCAGUGCGGUCGCGAUUCCCCAAGUCUCGCGCAUGCGUGGUGCGCUCUGUAGUAAUGCGCUAUCCCAUCUCCUGCUGCCGCUGUUAGCCGGGUUUCAGCAGCGCAAUGCACAUGCGCGUGGUUACCUUGACUUGAAGCAAGGAGGCUGCUGCCCCCUUGACUUCUAGCUGGCCGACACUAUAGCGCUGAUGGAGAAUAAAACUGCGUUUUUUGAACUUACACAGCAUCGGACAACAGGAUGAAACAUAUGAUUAUUAACAGGCUACUAUGAGUUAUUGCUGGUGGGUGUAGAUGCAUUUUUGAAGUGACAGGUUCCCUUUAAGAGCUUACUUGCAUCCCUUUCUUCCCAGAAUUCCAGAGGAGCAUGUAUGGCCUACACUGUGUAGUUCUGGAUGCCGGCAACCUGCAGCUCAGCUCCCAUUCACUUGAAUGGGAGCUGAGUAGUAGUACCACGGCACGGUCACUGCACAGUGGACAGAACCUUGUGCUUCCUUUCCCUAUAAUGUAUAGUGGGGUCCAGGCUGUUGGACUCCUACCAAUCUCAUAUUGAUGACCCAUACUGAGAAUUGCCCAGAGGAGAUCAAGUAAA